GAGGUUAACAGCUCAGUGGUAGAGCAUGUGCUUAGCAUGCGUGAGGUCCUGGGUUCAAUCCCCAGUACCUCCA
Camelus ferus (Wild Bactrian camel) is the source of this 73-nucleotide transfer RNA. It matches the Rfam family "tRNA". From Rfam's summary of the family: Transfer RNA (tRNA) molecules are approximately 80 nucleotides in length. The record is from Rfam. Lineage: Eukaryota; Metazoa; Chordata; Mammalia; Artiodactyla; Camelidae.